AUACCGGCAGCUCGAGUGAUGACCGAUUUUAUUGGGCCUAAAGCGUCCGUAGCUGGCCGUGUAGGUUCGUCGGGAAAUCCACCUGCUCAACAGGUGGGCGUCCGGCGAAAACCACAUGGCUUGGGACCGGAAGGCUCGAGGGGUACGUCCGGGGUAGGAGUGAAAUCCCGUAAUCCUGGACGGACCGCCGAUGGCGAAAGCACCUCGAGAAGACGGAUCCGACAGUGAGGGACGAAAGCUGGGGUCUCGAACCGGAUUAGAUACCCGGGUAGUCCCAGCCGUAAACAAUGCCUGUUAGGUGUGGCACCGACUACGAGUCGGUGCUGUGCCGUAGGGAAGCCGAUAAACAGGCCGCCUGGGAAGUACGUCCGCAAGGAUGAA
This 381-nucleotide ribosomal RNA is filed under the name uncultured bacterium. RNAcentral's name for it is "bacterial SSU rRNA". It matches the Rfam family "Archaeal small subunit ribosomal RNA", at positions 473 to 853 of the family's 1478-position model. RNAcentral also lists the same sequence under 1 other name. The record is from RNAcentral.